UAAAGAAUUUCGGUCAUCGAUGGGGAUGCGUUCCAUUAGCUUGUUGGCGGGGUAACGGCCCACCAAGGCAUCGAUGGAUAGGGGUUCUGAGAGGAAGGUCCCCCACAUUGGAACUGAGACACGGUCCAAACUCCUACGGGAGGCAGCAGUGAGGAAUAUUGGUCAAUGGGCGCUAGCCUGAACCAGCCAAGUAGCGUGAAGGAUGACUGCCCUAUGGGUUGUAAACUUCUUUUAUAUGGGAAUAAAGUGCAGUAUGUAUACUGCUUUGCAUGUACCUUAUGAAUAAGGAUCGGCUAACUCCGUGCCAGCAGCCGCGGUAAUACGGAGGAUCCGAGCGUUAUCCGGAUUUAUUGGGUUUAAAGGGAGCGUAGGCGGGUUGUUAAGUCAGUUGUGAAAGUUUGCGGCUCAACCGUAAAAUUGCAGUUGAUACUGGCAUCCUUGAGUACAGUAGAGGUAGGCGGAAUUCGUGGUGUAGCGGUGAAAUGCUUAGAUAUCACGAAGAACUCCGAUUGCGAAGGCAGCCUGCUGGACUGUAACUGACGCUGAUGCUCGAAAGUGUGGGUAUCAAACAGGAUUAGAUACCCUGGUAGUCCACACAGUAAACGAUGAAUACUCGCUGUUUGCGAUGUACAGUAA
This 636-nucleotide ribosomal RNA is filed under the name uncultured bacterium. RNAcentral describes it as "bacterial SSU rRNA". It matches the Rfam family "Bacterial small subunit ribosomal RNA", at positions 202 to 842 of the family's 1533-position model. The record is from RNAcentral.